Molecule: ribosomal RNA, 253 nt
Filed under: uncultured bacterium
Lineage: Bacteria
Description: partial 16S ribosomal RNA
Rfam family: Bacterial small subunit ribosomal RNA
Source: RNAcentral
GACAGAGGGUGCAAACGUUGUUCGGAAUUACUGGGCAUAAAGCGCACGUAGGCGGUUCGCUCAGUCGCAUGUGAAAUCCUCCGGCUCAACCGGGGAAUGGCGUGCGAUACUGGCGAGCUUGAGAUCGGGAGGGGUGAGUGGAACUCCAGGUGGAGCGGUGAAAUGCGUAGAUAUCUGGAGGAACACCGGUGGCGAAAGCGGCUCACUGGCCCGAUACUGACGCUGAGGUGCGAAAGCUAGGGUAGCAAACGGG